GGCGAGUGAAGCGGGAAGAGCUCAAAUUUGUAAUCUGGCGUCUUUCAGGCGUCCGAGUUGUAAUCUAUAGAAGUGUUUUCCGUGCUGGACCAUGUCCAAGUCCCUUGGAACAGGGUAUCAAAGAGGGUGACAAUCCCGUACUUGAUAUGGCUACCAGUGCUCUGUGAUACACUUUCUACGAGUCGAGUUGUUUGGGAAUGCAGCUCAAAAUGGGUGGUAAAUUCCAUCUAAAGCUAAAUAUUGGCGAGAGACCGAUAGCGAACAAGUACCGUGAGGGAAAGAUGAAAAGCACUUUGGAAAGAGAGUUAAACAGUACGUGAAAUUGUUGAAAGGGAAACGAUUGAAGUCAGUCGUGUUCAUUGGACUCAGCCGGUUUUCGGUGUAUUUCCUUUGAACGGGUCAACAUCAGUUUUGUCCGGUGGAUAAAGGCAGGAAGAAAGUGGCUUGCUUGCAAGUGUUAUAGCUUUCUGUCACAUACACUGGGGGAGACUGAGGACUGCAGCUCGCCUUUUGGCCGGGGUUCGCCCACGUUCGAGCUUAGGAUGUUGACAUAAUGGCUUUAAACGAC
This 568-nucleotide ribosomal RNA is filed under the name Vanrija sp. RNAcentral's name for it is "partial large subunit ribosomal RNA". It matches the Rfam family "Eukaryotic large subunit ribosomal RNA", at positions 88 to 648 of the family's 3401-position model. Lineage: Eukaryota; Fungi; Basidiomycota; Tremellomycetes; Trichosporonales; Trichosporonaceae. The record is from RNAcentral.